Non-coding RNA from Hordeum vulgare subsp. vulgare (domesticated barley), 135 nucleotides. The record is from Rfam. Lineage: Eukaryota; Viridiplantae; Streptophyta; Magnoliopsida; Poales; Poaceae.
UUAAUACUUCCUCCGUUCCAAUUUUUUGUCUUAGGUUUGUUUAAGAAUGGAUGUAUCUAAAUACUAAAANNUGACUAGAUACAUUCAUAUAUAAACAAAACUAAGAUAAGAAUUUUGGGACAGAGGGAGUAUAAU